GAUAAACGCUGGCGGCGUGCAUGAGACAUGCAAGUCGAACGAAGGAUCGGGCUUGCUCGAUCCUUAGUGGCGGACGGCUGAGUAACGCGUAGGUGACCUACCCCGAAGUGGGGAAUAACUGCCCGAAAGGGUGGCUAAUACCGCAUGUGGUCGCACGUUCAUUCGUGCGAGUAAAGCCGCAAGGCGCUUCGGGAGGGGCCUGCGUCCGAUUAGCUCGUUGGUGGGGUAAUGGCUUACCAAGGCGACGAUCGGUAGGUGGUCUGAGAGGACGAUCACCCAGACUGGGACUGAGACACGGCCCAGACUCCUACGGGAGGCAGCAGUCGGGAAUUUUGCUCAAUGGGGGAAACCCUGAAGCAGCAACGCCGCGUGAGGGAUGAGGGCCUUCGGGUUGUAAACCUCUUUUGUCAGGGACGAUGAUGACGGUACCUGGCGAAUAAGCCACGGCUAACUACGUG
RNAcentral lists this ribosomal RNA (458 nucleotides) under uncultured bacterium. RNAcentral's name for it is "partial 16S ribosomal RNA". It matches the Rfam family "Bacterial small subunit ribosomal RNA", at positions 28 to 507 of the family's 1533-position model. The record is from RNAcentral.